This 397-nucleotide ribosomal RNA is filed under the name uncultured bacterium. RNAcentral's name for it is "partial 16S ribosomal RNA". It matches the Rfam family "Bacterial small subunit ribosomal RNA", at positions 523 to 918 of the family's 1533-position model. The record is from RNAcentral.
AUACGUAGGUGGCAAGCGUUGUCCGGAAUUAUUGGGCGUAAAGCGCGCGCAGGUGGUUCCUUAAGUCUGAUGUGAAAGCCCCCGGCUCAACCGGGGAGGGUCAUUGGAAACUGGGGAACUUGAGUGCAGAAGAGGAUAGUGGAAUUCCAAGUGUAGCGGUGAAAUGCGUAGAGAUUUGGAGGAACACCAGUGGCGAAGGCGACUGUCUGGUCUGUAACUGACACUGAGGCGCGAAAGCGUGAGGAGCAAACAGGAUUAGAUACCCUGGUAGUCCACGCCGUAAACGAUGAGUGCUAAGUGUUGGGGGGUUUCCGCCCCUCAGUGCUGCAGCUAACGCAUUAAGCACUCCGCCUGGGGAGUACGGUCGCAAGACUGAAACUUAAAUGAAUUGGCGGGG